This 76-nucleotide transfer RNA is filed under the name Planctomycetota bacterium. Its description in RNAcentral is "tRNA-Gly". It matches the Rfam family "tRNA". From Rfam's summary of the family: Transfer RNA (tRNA) molecules are approximately 80 nucleotides in length. Their secondary structure includes four short double-helical elements and three loops (D, anti-codon, and T loops). The record is from RNAcentral. RNAcentral also lists the same sequence under 1 other name. Lineage: Bacteria; Pseudomonadati; Planctomycetota.
GCGGGUGUAGCUCAGUUGGUAGAGCAUCACGUUGCCAACGUGAUUGUCGUCGGUUCAAGUCCGAUCACCCGCUCCA